Long non-coding RNA from Oncorhynchus tshawytscha (Chinook salmon), 1270 nucleotides. NCBI's taxonomy places the organism in Eukaryota, Metazoa, Chordata, Actinopteri, Salmoniformes, Salmonidae. The record is from Ensembl.
CGUGCGCUUCCCUGAGAAAUAGCCGUGCAUCUAAAUGUUGGAGCAUAUUUACCUUGUACCUUCCUUAUGCAAAUGCAAUAAUUAACGAUCCAUGCGUUCAGUGUGACUUUCAGCCGAUUAUAAGGUUAUUAUUGGCGAGCGCCAAAAUAAAUGACAGGUGUAUAUUCUGGCGCCCUACUACAGAUAUCGAGGCCAUUAGCACAAAACGGCUUGUGGAUACUACCGAGCCACUGUAUUUGUUAAAACAGAGCGGGUUAAUGCAUGCAGGGCAUUGAGCUGCUGCUGCGGUUCCUUGCCUGGUCAGCAGCCCGACUUCUCGAUGGAGCUGAGCUUGGAGAAUCCAUUCUGAUCGAGGCUGAGCGCGACGGAGUGAUGUGAUGCUCCACCUCCAUAGCAUACAUGGGCUACUGCGGCCCCAAGCUUUGGUACGAAACCCUGAGAGAUGACAUUGUUGAUGCGUUUAUUUACCCAGUAUGUAGUCUAGGUUACUGUAGCCUACAUAACAUUACUGGAUAUGUUGAAUCAAAUAUCAAGGCUAUCAAUCAGAUAGCACAUGAUGUCCCAUGUUUUGUCAUUACACGAUUGUGCAAUACACGUACCUCGAUAUGACAGUAUUUAAUCUAAUGCAUGAUGUUGUAUGCUAAAUAUAGUUAUUCUAUGUAUUCUAUGGUUGUAGAGCUAGUCUGAUAGUGGACUAGGUAUGCUAUUGAAGGAGGUAGCCUGCCUGCCUGGCCUGCUGAUUCCAGGUCAGGUCUAUGGGUGGUAUAGUAGCUAGAGGGGAUCUUUAGGGGAAUUGCAUGGAGAGAGAGAGACAGGGAUUGAGGGAGAGGGUAGUGCACACCAAGAAUGACAAGUAUGUCCUGGAGCCGCAGAAAUGAAGCCCCCAGUGCUGUUUUUUCUAAUUACAGUGGGGCUUAGCAUUACAUCCCCCCUCCCCAGUCAAACACACACACACACACACACUACAGUGAGUGUGCAGUCAUACUAUCUCAGACAGUCAAACACACACACACACACGCUACAGUGAGUGCGCAGUCAUACUAUCUCAGACAUUAGGAGCCGUGCAGGCUACAUAUUCAAACUGUCCCCUUGUUAUUUUGCUUUUUAAAUCUCCCUUGUUGUUUUGCUUUUUAAAUCCCCCUUGUUGUUUUGCUUUUUAAAUCCCCCUUCUUGUUUUGCUUUUUAAAUCUCCCUUGUUGUUUUGCUUUUUAAAUCCCCCUUGUUGUUUUGCUUUUUAAAUCCCCCUCCUUGUUUUGCUUUUUAAAUCUCC